Long non-coding RNA from Epinephelus fuscoguttatus (brown-marbled grouper), 618 nucleotides. RefSeq lists it as uncharacterized. NCBI's taxonomy places the organism in Eukaryota, Metazoa, Chordata, Actinopteri, Perciformes, Serranidae. The transcript is spliced from 4 exons. The record is from RefSeq and is a predicted model, not a curated record.
AGCCUUUUUUUUCCCAUUAUGCAGACUACGUGACCAUCGGAGUGUACUAACUGUAGAUUUUUCGACAGUACUUGAAGGCAGCAUACCGCAAUUUCCCACACACAACGUGGUGGUGCUUUUGAUGCUGAUGCAAUCGCCCUGGAGGAGACAAAAAGGAUGUGAGCAGCCUGAAGCCAUGUUCACACGAGAAAGCAGAACAACUGUACUGAAUGUCUGGGAAGUUUGAGUUUCACCUCUUCUGGGACACCGAGGCCGGUAGAGGAAGGAAGUGGACCUGCGAGCAAAACAGCAAAUAAAUAUGCAAGAGACGGAAUAAAGAGCUUGAAAAAAAGGCUGAAGAGAGGGAGAAAGAGAGUUUCUAAGGAUGAAUAAAACGGAGACUCCUGCUUCCCACCAUGAUGUCAGCUGCAGCCUUUGCAAUAUGUUUCAGUGCAACUUUAACAGAGGAAGUAAGAAGUUAGUAUGAAAGCUACAGUAGGCGUUGUGUCACAGCCCCGAUACGAGAGUUGAAGUUCCCUAUGCUUACAUGAAAUUACACAACCGCUCUACUGACAUUCUCUCCAAGAUUGCUGCUGUGUUACACGCUAGCAUCUCCUCCAUCUUUUCUGACAUCCCUCA